This 225-nucleotide long non-coding RNA is filed under the name Elaeis guineensis (African oil palm). RNAcentral's name for it is "long non-coding RNA (EGUI_LNC066229)". Lineage: Eukaryota; Viridiplantae; Streptophyta; Magnoliopsida; Arecales; Arecaceae. The record is from RNAcentral.
GAAGAAAGAAGGAAUAGUUCCUUCUUGAAUCUGAAAUUUUAAAGAAGAAAGAAAGGUUUUCUCUCAUGCAUGGAAGAAAGAGAAGAAAGUGUUCUUUUCAUAAUCUCUAGCAUAGAGAUCUUCAUUCUCCUGUUCUUCUUGAUCUCUAAGAGUAUCUUGAGAAAAAAGAAGAGUCCUCUUCAACCGUCAAGAUGUGAUCUCUGUAAGGGAGCUAGCUUUCCAGUG